GAUCCAGACACUCCUCUGGCCUUCCCAGGAUAGGGGUGGGCCAUUUGGAAACUGGCCUGCCCAGCACCCAGCCCUCUCCUCUGCCUUCAUUCACAGUGGCUCUCCUGCCACCCAGCUUCCACAGAGCUCACAGCCACCCAACCCUUCAAGGGUCUUUGUAAUCAGGUAGGAUUUGCAAGCAUGUAAAAACAUUUCUCUUAAACUAGAUUGCCUCUGGAGACACAUCAGUCAACAGCUGGAUGUGCCCGAAGAAACAAGUGGCACACACCUCCUUCUGUCCACCAUCCUCCUCUGACUGACAGCAUUGCAACAACCUGCGCGGUUCCUGGCUCCUUCCUUCCACGGCAUGACCCUGGAGAUACCCCUCAGCUCCCAACUGGAUCCUCCCUCAGAGGGUUUCAAGCAUGAAUCUGGCAUCCAUAGGGGAUCACGGUGACGCGGCAGAGACUGGUUGGAGGUGCAUAAGAGAGAAACGCAGCUCUCACUCAUGUUAGGCUUGCUGGCUGCUCCGGUGGCUCUGGAGUCCUUGCUUCUAGUGGCACUGAUGACGAAAGGGAAAGCACAUGGAAGCUUGUUGGAAUUGGUGUCUAUCACUCCUGCCCAAAAUCCAUGGACCAGAAGUUGAUAAAUGCUGGAAAAUGUUCUCGAGAAGAGGAGUUAACAGCAAUUGUCAUCCUCUCCCUAUACAAGAAUAUAAGCAUCAAGAAGUCACAGGGCAGCCUGGGUGACUCAGCGGUUUAGUGCUGCCUUCAGCCCAGGGCAUGAUCCUGGAGACCUGCAAUCAAGUCCCAUUUUGGGUUCCCCGCGUGGAGCCUGCUUCUCUCUCUGCCUCUCUCUCUCUCUGUCUCUCAUAAAUAA
Molecule: long non-coding RNA, 858 nt
Organism: Canis lupus familiaris (dog)
Lineage: Eukaryota; Metazoa; Chordata; Mammalia; Carnivora; Canidae
Exons: 4
Source: RefSeq, a predicted model, not a curated record